GGCCUUAGUGGCGCACGGGUGCGUAACGCGUGGGAAUCUGCCCUUUGGUUCGGAAUAACAGCUGGAAACGGCUGCUAAUACCGGAUGAUGACGAGAGUCCAAAGAUUUAUCGCCAGAGGAUGAGCCCGCGUUGGAUUAGGUAGUUGGUGGGGUAAAGGCCUACCAAGCCGACGAUCCAUAGCUGGUCUGAGAGGAUGAUCAGCCACACUGGGACUGAGACACGGCCCAGACUCCUACGGGAGGCAGCAGUGGGGAAUAUUGGACAAUGGGCGCAAGCCUGAUCCAGCAAUGCCGCGUGAGUGAUGAAGGCCCUAGGGUUGUAAAGCUCUUUUACCCGGGAAGAUAAUGACUGUACCGGGAGAAUAAGCCCCGGCUAACUCCGUGCCAGCAGCCGCGGUAAUACGGAGGGGGCUAGCGUUGUUCGGAAUUACUGGGCGUAAAGCGCACGUAGGCGGCUUUGUAAGUCAGAGGUGAAAGCCUGGAGCUCAACUCCAGAACUGCCUUUGAGACUGCAUCGCUUGAAUCCAGGAGAGGUCAGUGGAAUUCCGAGUGUAGAGGUGAAAUUCGUAGAUA
RNAcentral lists this ribosomal RNA (573 nucleotides) under Sphingomonas parapaucimobilis. RNAcentral's name for it is "bacterial SSU rRNA". It matches the Rfam family "Bacterial small subunit ribosomal RNA", at positions 88 to 696 of the family's 1533-position model. Lineage: Bacteria; Pseudomonadati; Pseudomonadota; Alphaproteobacteria; Sphingomonadales; Sphingomonadaceae. The record is from RNAcentral.